GAGGGGCUAAAAUACCCCUCAAACUGCGUGUAAAUAGUUCGUUUCCAUUGGCCUGGACGGAUGGUUUGUGAAUC
This 74-nucleotide non-coding RNA is filed under the name unclassified sequences. RNAcentral describes it as "L13-Bacteroidia ribosomal protein leader". It matches the Rfam family "L13-Bacteroidia ribosomal protein leader". The record is from RNAcentral.